Molecule: ribosomal RNA, 424 nt
Filed under: uncultured bacterium
Lineage: Bacteria
Description: bacterial SSU rRNA
Rfam family: Bacterial small subunit ribosomal RNA
Source: RNAcentral
UAGGGAAUAUUGGGCAAUGGACGAAAGUCUGACCCAGCCACGCCGCGUGAAGGAUGACUGCCCUAUGGGUUGUAAACUUCUUUUGUAUGGGAAGAAACCUCCGAACGUGUUCGGAGCUGACGGUACCAUAAGAAUAAGCAUCGGCUAACUCCGUGCCAGCAGCCGCGGUAAUACGGAGGAUGCAAGCGUUGUCCGGAUUCAUUGGGUUUAAAGGGUGCGUAGGCGGAGAAUUAAGUCAGUGGUGAAAGCUUACAGCUUAACUGUAAAAAUGCCAUUGAAACUGAUUUUCUUGAGUUCGAUUGAGGUAGAUGGAAUGUAUCAUGUAGCGGUGAAAUGCUUAGAUAUGAUACAGAACACCAAUUGCGAAGGCAGUCUACUAAGUCGAUACUGACGCUGAGGCACGAAAGCAUGGGGAGCAAACAGG